GAUGAACGCUGGCGGCGUGCUUAACACAUGCAAGUCGAACGGUGAAAGCGGAGCUUGCUCCGCUGGAUCAGUGGCGAACGGGUGAGUGACACGUGGGCAACCUGCCUUUCACUUCGGGAUAACUCCGGGAAACCGGGGCUAAUACCGGAUAUGACCUCUGCGGGCAUCCGCGGAGGUGGAAAGUUUUUCGGUGAAGGAUGGGCCCGCGGCCUAUCAGCUUGUUGGUGAGGUAGUGGCUCACCAAGGCGACGACGGGUAGCCGGCCGGAGAGGGCGAGCGGCCAGACUGGGAGUGAGACACGGCCCAGACUCCUACGGGAGGCAGCAGUGGGGAAUAUUGCGCAGUGGGCGAAAGCCUGACGAAGCAACGCCGCGUGCGGGAUGACGGCCUUCGGGCUGUAAACCGCUUUCAGCAGGGAAGAAGCCGCAAGGUGACGGUACCUGCAGAAGAAGCACCGGCUAACUACGUGCCAGCCGCCGCCGUAA
RNAcentral lists this ribosomal RNA (485 nucleotides) under uncultured bacterium. Its description in RNAcentral is "partial 16S ribosomal RNA". It matches the Rfam family "Bacterial small subunit ribosomal RNA", at positions 28 to 523 of the family's 1533-position model. The record is from RNAcentral.